CCUACGGGAGGCAGCAGUGAGGAAUAUUGGUCAAUGGACGAGAGUCUGAACCAGCCAAGUAGCGUGAAGGAUGACUGCCCUAUGGGUUGUAAACUUCUUUUAUAUGGGAAUAAAACGUUCCACGUGUGGGAUUUUGUAUGUACCAUAUGAAUAAGGAUCGGCUAACUCCGUGCCAGCAGCCGCGGUAAUACGGAGGAUCCGAGCGUUAUCCGGAUUUAUUGGGUUUAAAGGGAGCGUAGGUGGAUUGUUAAGUCAGUUGUGAAAGUUUGCGGCUCAACCGUAAAAUUGCAGUUGAAACUGGCAGUCUUGAGUACAGUAGAGGUGGGCGGAAUUCGUGGUGUAGCGGUGAAAUGCUUAGAUAUCACGAAGAACUCCGAUUGCGAAGGCAGUUCACUGGACUGCAACUGACACUGAGGCUCGAAAGUGUGGGUAUCAAACAGGAUUAGAAACCCGUGUAGUC
Molecule: ribosomal RNA, 460 nt
Filed under: uncultured bacterium
Lineage: Bacteria
Description: partial 16S ribosomal RNA
Rfam family: Bacterial small subunit ribosomal RNA
Source: RNAcentral